CUCCACCACCACCACCACCACCACCACCACCACCGCUACCACUAUCGACGUCGCCGCCGCCGCCGCCGUCGCCUCCACUGUUCCUCCACGCUUCCAGUCUUACCUGAUUGGAGUCAUUGAAGCACCUGGAUGUGUACCUGUUCAUUUACCUGUCACCUGGCAGGCGAGUCCCGCGGGCGUGGAGCGCGGUACUUUCUGUGUCCCGGAGGCGGUAAGCGAUACGCGGCUGAGGGGUGGCUGGCUGACUGCUUCCCGGGAGAGGCCAGCGGUGGGUGAAGCUGGCUGUGGCUGGCCCGGGUGACUAAGAGAGUGGGGACGUGCAUUUAGCCGUCUCUUCCCUUAUAUAUGUUCCAGAGAGCGUUAAAUUCUGUAACACAAUGGCGUAACAAAUUUUUUUUAUGAAGUUUAAUGUUUUGAAUACGGUUAUUUGAAGGUACUGGUAAUGUGCGAUGAAGGAAAUUUUGUUUAAGGUGUUUAAACGUAGUGGUAAUGUGUAUUUUUAGGUAUAUAAUGGGAGCAAAUAUUUCAGUUUCAAAGGGAUUUCAAUUUAGUAGCUUACCAUCACAGCUACGUCCGUCGUGAUGUAUAAAGAUAUUUUUAAUAGAAUAUCAGACGUAUUGGUAA
Molecule: long non-coding RNA, 624 nt
Organism: Scylla paramamosain (green mud crab)
Lineage: Eukaryota; Metazoa; Arthropoda; Malacostraca; Decapoda; Portunidae
Exons: 3
Source: RefSeq, a predicted model, not a curated record